This 373-nucleotide unclassified non-coding RNA is filed under the name uncultured Actinomycetes bacterium. RNAcentral describes it as "uncultured actinobacterium contains 16S-23S intergenic spacer region". Lineage: Bacteria; Bacillati; Actinomycetota; Actinomycetes. The record is from RNAcentral.
UCCGGUUUGUCACCGGCAGUCACCUUAGAGUGCCCAACUAAAUGCUGGCAACUAAGAUCAAGGGUUGCGCUCGUUGCGAGACUUAACCCAACAUCUCACGACACGAGCUGACGACAGCCAUGCACCACCUGUACACCCCCAAAAGAAGCCCCAUCUCUGAGGCGGCAGGGUGUAUGUCAAACCCAGGUAAGGUUCUUCGCGUUGCGUCGAAUUAAACCACAUGCUCCGCUGCUUGUGCGGGUCCCCGUCAAUUCCUUUGAGUUUUAGCCUUGCGGCCGUACUCCCCAGGCGGGGCACUUAAUGCGUUAGCUGCGGCACGGAACCCGUGGAAUGGGUCCCACACCUAGUGCCCAACGUUUACGGCAUGGACUAC